Molecule: ribosomal RNA, 410 nt
Filed under: uncultured microorganism
Description: bacterial SSU rRNA
Rfam family: Bacterial small subunit ribosomal RNA
Source: RNAcentral
CAGCCGCCGCGGUAAUACGGAGGGCGCGAGCGUUGUCCGGAUUCACUGGGCGUAAAGCGUGCGCAGGCGGCCCGUUAAGACAGGUGUGAAAUCCCUGGGCUCAACCUAGGAAUUGCGCUUGUGACUGGCGGGCUCGAGUACGGUAGAGGGGGGUGGAAUUCCUGGUGUAGCAGUGAAAUGCGUAGAGAUCAGGAGGAACACCGAUGGCGAAGGCAGCCCCCUGGGCCUGUACUGACGCUCAUGCACGAAAGCGUGGGGAGCAAACAGGAUUAGAUACCCUGGUAGUCCACGCCCUAAACGAUGGGUACUAGCCGUUUGGUGCGCGAUAGCGCUGAGUGGCGAAGCUAACGCGUGAAGUACCCCGCCUGGGGAGUACGGCCGCAAGGUUGAAACUUAAAGGAAUUGGCGGG